Molecule: ribosomal RNA, 468 nt
Filed under: uncultured bacterium
Lineage: Bacteria
Description: partial 16S ribosomal RNA
Rfam family: Bacterial small subunit ribosomal RNA
Source: RNAcentral
GACGAACGCUGGCGGCGUGCUUAACACAUGCAAGUCGAACGGAAAGGCACUGCUUUUGUGGGCUGAUCGAGUGGCGAACGGGUGAGUAACACGUGAGUAACCUGCCCUUGACUUUGGGAUAAGUUCAGGAAACUGGGGCUAAUAUCGGAUAGGAGAUCCUGCUGCAUGGUGGGGAUUGGAAAGUUUCGGCGGUUGGGGAUGGACGCGCGGCUUAUCAGCUUGUUGGUUGGGUAGUGGCUUACCAAGGCUUUGACGGGUAGCCGGCCUGAGAGGGUGACCGGCCACAUUGGGACUGAGAUACGGACCAGACUCCUACGGGAGGCAGCAGUGGGGAAUAUUGCACAAUGGGCGGAAGCCUGAUGCAGCAACGCCGCGUGCGGGAUGACGGCCUGCGGGUUGUAAACCGCUUUCGCCUGUGACGAAGCGUGAGUGACGGUAAUGGGUAAAGAAGCACCGGCUAACUACGUG